Long non-coding RNA from Meriones unguiculatus (Mongolian gerbil), 1452 nucleotides. RefSeq lists it as uncharacterized. The transcript has 4 exons. NCBI's taxonomy places the organism in Eukaryota, Metazoa, Chordata, Mammalia, Rodentia, Muridae. The record is from RefSeq and is a predicted model, not a curated record.
AGCUACCUGCCUGUUGUCAGUAGAGCACGGACUCUGAGUGGCUGAGUGAUUUGAAAAUAAUCCACUGUUACGCAGUCUCAUCUGCGUGCAUCUUACAAAACACAGCUAGUUCGGCUGGCCACGAUCUUAGCUUUGGUCCCAAUACUGCGCUUUCACUGGCUGAGCUGGUGGCCUCAGGCACACAACUGUGCCCAGGGGUAAUGAUGGGCUCAUGUGUUUCUGUGGGUUUCCUUAGGACAGUCCUACAGGGUAGCGACAAAGACCCAGAGGAGUUCUGAAUAAGGUGGUCAGCUCUAGCACAACAACCAGAACGGCAAGGACCUCGGGUCCUCUCACACUAAGUUGCUGCAAUUGGGAGGCCCUUUCUGUAUCACACUGCCUUCAAACAAGGGCUGCCAAUACAGGAGCUGAGGAGACAAAAGAGAGUUCAACAACCCUGAAAACUGUAGCAUGGGUGCCAUAUGCGGGAUGUGAUGAUACCAGAGUCUACCCCUGCCUGUUCGGAGGAGAUGCACGCGGGAAACAGCAGCGAAGAGGGGACUGGAAAGCAGGAGACUUCAGCACACCUCCCACAGCACCUUAGCUGAAGCCACGCCCACACAGAUUUGCAAACAGAAAACAAGGAAUGAAGAGAGCUUCUCCAGUGCCUGUGUCGCAGAGGUAAGCAGGGCCCUGGAGCCUGCCAUUUGUGCAAGGAGACUGUCGCCUGAGGAAGUCUCACAACAGAAUGUCUGGGUAACACAAGGUGAAGUGUUGGCAACAAACAUCAGGAGCCUUCUCUCGGCAGAGGAGGAGAGAAUGAUGAGAACUCCAUCAUAGAGUGUUCUUCCUGGCUGGCUGCUCCUUCUGACAAUGAAAAGAGAGCAAAGCAACCACACCCUGGCAGGACAGAAAAUGGAUUUGGAGUCAGAGUCCUCUCCCACUGAGUGGCUAGGGAGACUGUGAGGAAAAUUCUCCCACUUGUCCUGAGGCUCACUUCCUUUCAUGUUUCCAGGAAUGAUGAAACGAGGGCUAGAGGGAUGGGUAGGCUCACAACCAAACACUUAAGAAUGAUGGAGUGAGCCAUCGCAAAGCUGUGAAGACAAUAUGUCAGUGCGCCAUGUCAGGUCCUGUCCCAGGACAUAUUCCUGAGAUGAGAAAGGGGUCACAGGUCAGGAACCUGCAGGACCUGGAGGACGUUGCCUAAGAAACUGUGGUCUCUACUGAGGGAUGGUUUGAGCCCUUUGGCAUAGGCUGCUGUGGCAAAGGGUGGUCCAAAGAACUUGGAUGGCCCCAGACUUGAAACUCUGUACCCGUCACUAGCACUGGGAUGGGGGAGACGUAGAUGGCUCUUCAGAGACAAUAACCCUAACGUGAGGGACCAAGGCCCACACCUGCAGGGAAGCUGCAGAAGGAGGACAGAGGUAUUGACCCUGUAAAGCAAUCUGGCUGAGACCAGCAGCAGCCACCGCU